GACGUAGGGCGCGAGCGUUGUCCGGAUUUAUUAGGCGUAAAGAGCUCGUAGGCGGUCUGUCGCGUCUGGUGUGAAAAAUCCAGGGCUUAACCCUGGACCUGCAUCGGGUACGGGCAGACUAGAGUGCGGUAGGGGAGAUCGGAAUUCCUGGUGUAGCGGUGAAAUGCGCAGAUAUCAGGAGGAACACCGGUGGCGAAGGCGGAUCUCUGGGCCGUAACUGACGCUGAGGAGCGAAAGCAUGGGGAGCGAACAGGA
RNAcentral lists this ribosomal RNA (255 nucleotides) under uncultured bacterium. RNAcentral's name for it is "partial 16S ribosomal RNA". It matches the Rfam family "Bacterial small subunit ribosomal RNA", at positions 524 to 777 of the family's 1533-position model. The record is from RNAcentral.